AUACUUACCUGGCAGGGGAGACACCAUGAUCAUGAAGGUGGUUCACCCAAGGUGAGGCUCAGCCAUUGCACUGAGGCUUUGCUGACCUUUGCGAACGGCGAUGCGCUGGACAGAAGUGCAAUUGAGAUGUGUUAGGAUUGGCCAACCCUUGA
Molecule: small nuclear RNA, 152 nt
Filed under: Oryzias latipes (Japanese medaka)
Lineage: Eukaryota; Metazoa; Chordata; Actinopteri; Beloniformes; Adrianichthyidae
Description: U1 spliceosomal RNA (ENSORLG00000020935.2)
Rfam family: U1 spliceosomal RNA
About the family: U1 is a small nuclear RNA (snRNA) component of the spliceosome (involved in pre-mRNA splicing). Its 5' end forms complementary base pairs with the 5' splice junction, thus defining the 5' donor site of an intron. There are significant differences in sequence and secondary structure between metazoan and yeast U1 snRNAs, the latter being much longer (568 nucleotides as compared to 164 nucleotides in human).
Source: Rfam by way of RNAcentral